UACGAAGGGUGCUAGCGUUGUUCGGAAUUACUGGGCGUAAAGCGUAGGUAGGCGGUUUACCAAGUCAGGGGUGAAAUCCCGAGGCUCAACCUCGGAAUUGCCUUUGAAACUGGUAGGCUAGAGAAUGUUAGAGGCAAGUGGAAUUCCUAGUGUAGGAGUGAAAUCCGUAGAUAUUAGGAGGAACAUCAAUGGCGAAGGCAGCUUGCUGGGACAUUACUGACGCUGAGCUACGAAAGCGUGGGGAGCAAACAGG
This 253-nucleotide ribosomal RNA is filed under the name uncultured bacterium. RNAcentral's name for it is "partial 16S ribosomal RNA". It matches the Rfam family "Bacterial small subunit ribosomal RNA", at positions 524 to 776 of the family's 1533-position model. The record is from RNAcentral.